RNAcentral lists this long non-coding RNA (18970 nucleotides) under Musa acuminata (dwarf banana). Its description in RNAcentral is "long non-coding RNA (MACU_LNC001962)". The record is from RNAcentral. Lineage: Eukaryota; Viridiplantae; Streptophyta; Magnoliopsida; Zingiberales; Musaceae.
CGCUACAAGAACCGGGAAUUACAAAUUAUGCACAUGCUGGACCAUCCAAAUAUUGUUGCUCUUAAGCACUACUUCUUUUCAACUACAAAUAAGGAAGAGGUGUACCUAAACCUUGUAUUGGAGUUUGUACCUGAGACCGUUAAUCGUAUUGCAAGGCAGUACAACAGGAUGAACCAACGCAUGCCUCUCAUAUAUGUGAAACUCUUCACUUACCAGGUGUGUGCACUUCUGUUUGGCCAGCUAGGAAUCAUCUGACUGUAUUAGUUUCUUUAAACUGAAAGCUCAAUCAUAUUUAAUAAUGGAAAUAAAUCAUGUUGUUAUUUUGAAAUGAUAAUAUAAGUUCAAUUUGUAUAGUUGCUGAUUCAAACAUUGUUUGUGUUAUUUCUCUCAGUACUUUUUGGAGAUUAAGCACACUCAUGGGGCCUAUUAACUCAUCAUGCCAGAUUAAUCUUUUGUUGAUUCAAACAUUCCUUAUGUGUUAUUUCUCUCAGUACUUUUUGGAGAUUAAGCUCACUUAUGGCGCCUAUUAACUCAUCGUGCCAGAUUAAUCUUUUGUCCACUGAAAAGUGCCAUGUAGGUUUGAGGAUCUUGUUUCAUGUACUGAAGCAUGCCUCUUAUGUAAAAAAUGAAGACUAACAGCCAUUUUGUGUCCAUUGCUCUGCCCAGCUAGCAGUGUGGCAGGUAGUGUUUUAUUUGAUGCUUGUGCUUAAGACAUGCCAAGGCAUCUGUUGAUGUCAUUAGGAGUCAAGUGAUUGAUACCAUUGUUCACCUUCCUGGUCCGUACUGGUGUAUCGUUCGGCUGUCGAUAUGCUACGUACCAAAUCAUAUCGACGUACCGACACAUGAUAUAGUGGAGGGUACCAACAAACCGAUAUAUACCGCCAUAUUAGUCCCCUGUUGGACGUGCACGUACCACCCAUAUAGGGUGGUACACCACGGUAUGACGAAUCUUGAUUGAUACCAUGUGAAAAACCAUGACCCUCAUGUCUCCAUUGUUUUGCCCAGAUAGUAGUAUGACAGGCUAUCUUCUGUUUGAUGGUCGUCUAAGACAUGCCAAGACUUCUGUUGAUGCCUUUAGGAGUUGAAAUGGUUGACAAGAACCUGCCAACUUGACCUAAGCAGGACAUAACAUGUUAUCCCGAUUGGAUACAUAAAUUGGACCCAGAUCAAGCAUGCUUCAUCAUGUGAAUGCUGAGGUCAGGUGUGUAAAUGGAUCCAACAGGAUCCUAAUUUAUCUCUCCCCCACUUCCUUAAUGUAUGAAGCUGCAUAGAUUUGUUGAAAGUGAUGUGCUUGUAACUUGUUUACCACAUAGUUUAUACCUUGGCAGUGACGAGUGGGCAUUGGAUAAUGUUAAUUAUUAGUGCAUUGUGACAAUCAGCAGUAAUCAACAUGUACAAAUGCAGCAAAUAUAAUGCAUCAAUUGUGGCUGGAAUCUCACUGGCACAUAAUUGGCAUAUGAUAUGCAUUACUUAGACCUUAUUCUAAAUAUAUGUUGGACAGGUAAAGCAUAUCAUUUGAGCUCAAAUUCGCACUUGCAUGAGACUUUUUUUUUUUUUCAAAAUGAAAAGUCUAUUAUGUGUGCAAAACUGGAGGAAGUACAGCAGUAGUCGAUGUUGUCAACCAUGGACAUAUGAGACUGCUAUUGUUGAGAAGACAAUUUUGUCAAUUUUGGUAGUCUUAAGUGUCUUGCACAUACUAGUGUCCCAGUUGAGCUGUCAAUGCUAAAUUAUCUAGAAUUAAGAGUUGGUUUUGGCAUCCGUGAUGUCACGGACUUAGUUGGUUUUGCCUAAGUCGUGUGGCACCCUUGCGUGACCGUCCGCAAAGGUCAGCCUCCCCGAAGCCUCCCAUGUCCCUUAGGACCCAUAAAAGAGAGAACGGGUUAGAGAAAACGUCUCAUUCGGGAUCCACAAGCAAACAUUUCCGAAAACACAUCAUAGACAAUGCAAAUUACAAACAGACUUUAUAAGCUCUGAACAGUUGCACAACAAAGGGUAAAAUGGUCCAUUACAGACCGAUAAUCUCUCACAUAUGUCCACAUGACACAACCUUUAUUUACAAGCCUAAAGCGGCCACCAACCUAACUAAAAUGAGACUAUUAAGCCUUCGGCCGUCCCUCUACAUACUGUACAAAGCAUGAACAUACCAAAAGACACGGACAUACAUAAGCAGUACAUCAAACAUCUUGUUUAGAAGUUUGUCCGUGACAUUCUCCCCCACUUAUUCCUUCGACGUCCUCGUCGAAGCCUUUGUCGACACUGCAACUCCUCGCCUUUGCUGAGUCUUCAAUCUUCUGCUCCAGUUGCAAUGUGUCUCCUGGCUCCCAGUUGCUCUCCGCUUUUGCUUUCGAGUAGUCGAACUUUUGAUCCGCCAUGCUGCUUCAACUCGCCAAUGACUCUGACUCUAGUGUGGGGUUGGCUGAGUUGUGUUGAUCCCUGUUGGUUCAUACGGAUCCUCCAGAUGAAGGAAAAGACCAUCCUUACUACGCCAGUCUCUCAAAUGCUUCAUGCUGCUUGAACUGGGUGGAUGCUUGUUGGAGCUUUAACGAGCAUCGUCUCACAAACUUCUGAAGUUUUGGGUCCUUCCUCCACAAAAUUUGCUUAUUGACUCUUCUUUCACUUAGUUGCCACAUCCAAGUAGGUUCGCAUCACUUCCGCUUUCGAUUGGCAUUUCGUUGGGAAAUGAAGCGGACAAUCUACUCUCAGUAGCAUUAAUCACCGUUGGUGAGGAUUUGACAACUAUUGUCUUCCAUUAUCUUCGAAGGGCCUUUGAGCUUGUGCAGAGCUCCUCUGCUGGAUAGAUAAGAGAAUUGGGGUACUCGGUUUCGCCCAUUCUCUUAAGGGUUGAGAAGGCAAAGGUUACUUGACUUCGCCCGUCUCCUCGAGGUUGUACUCCAUGCAUCGAGCUGGUUACUAGCCUUCGCCUGCUCUUUUCUCACACUUCUGAAGCACUUGAAGUGUUUGCACCCCUUGCGUUGAGUUAGUUACUGUGAUUCACCUUCUCAAUGCCAUCGAACUUCUGGAAUGCAGGAAGUUUUCAACCCAACUUGGAGUAAUUCUCUCAUAGGUUUGGUCGUCUCUGGGAUUGUACCGUCUACUCCAUCAACCCUGUCGCCUACUCCACUGAGUAGCAAAGGUACAGCACCGCGUACUGCCUGCUUCGUUCCUUGGUUAUGCACUCUUGCAUGACCCGAAGUCCUUCACUUUCGGCUAUCUUGAUGAGAAGCUCAUUGACACCGGUCCUACGAAGUUCCUUGGCCUCUGCCCUUCAGCCUUGUCUCGGUACUUGGAGUUUGCCUCUGCAUGCUCCACCUCCUCGGCCCCUUUCACGACCAAGCGCUCUCCCUCCAUGAGAGCAAGGGAUCAAUGACUUUCACGGAAGUCCCGCCUCUGCGGUACCAUGGCGUUGCCAUGCCCAUGGCACUACUAUCCGUCGCGCAUUCAUUUUCUUUACAAUCAGUAGAUAUGCCUUUGUGGCAGGGUCUGCAGUACCGAACUGUACCGCCCGGUACGGGCGGUACAUACCGGUCCGACAGGUUGCCGGUACGCGGACCGCCUGUUACCGGUCCGAGUGCACUGUAGCACUGCUACAGUGCUACAGUACUCGGCACACCUGAGUGUACCGCUCGGUAUACCGUACCGUAUCGGUACCGAGCCCAGGUCGAAAUACCGGUACGGUAUGGUAUUGCGAACCUUGCUCUGUGGCACUCCUCCGAGUCCACCUCCAUUCUAACUGAUGCUUGAUUUUGGGUAGCUAAGUCCCUCUGGACUCGUCGUCGCUUCCUCGCCCCUUUCGACCCCCUGCUUCAACACCUCUGUGUUCUCCAAGCAGCUCCCUUUUGGUCGAUGGAAAGACAUACUACAACUCCCAUGCAUGGCCUCUGCCAUCGCAUUAUAGGGUUUGCACCGAUUCUGUUCUCCUUAGCUUCCUUGGUAGCAACGUUCGUUUACUCGACCUUGUCCUCUGACUUGUCGGGCUCCCUUAAGCGAAUAUGAGCUCUGGAGCAGUCCAACUCUCCAGCUGCUUCGAUCAUACCUCUGUAUGAUCAAGUCCCUCCCAUGGGACUCACUGGUACUUGCAUUCGAACUUUUCCCUUUGUGGAACCCAACCCCCAUAUGUUGAUGACCAAGGUUUUCAUCCGAUGCAAAAUUCGAUGCACACACGGAAGACCCGCCUCUGCAGUACCAUGGCCUUCACUCCUUGAAUCCAUAGCCCUUUUUACCGUCUUGUUGUUCACCGAAGUGGAGCUUCCAGUAGCUCCCGAUCAUACCUCCGAAUGAUCUAGUCCCUCACGGGACUAUGUUGUGUGUAUUGCAUUGCCACAAAUUGUUCCACCACGAUCCGCUGCACCAUGUCGCCUCCUAGUGACAUUUCUAUUGCAUUCUGAUCCUUGUGGGAUAAACUCGAAUUGUGAACCCUUCAUGUGUGGCCUCUGCCAAUACAUCGCAGGGUCUCUUCCACCUUCGAUUUUGUUCGCUCCUUUAGCAAUCGAUCUUCAUCCACCCUUUCUUGGGUCACACCUAGAUGAAGCACCGCUCUAGGACAGUUCGUCGCCUAGUAGCUCCCGAAGUCGCCCGACUUCGCUGCAAUUAGUGCACCAUUGUCUGGAUCCUGGGCCUCUGCCCCUACCAGCAAAAUCUUCGCCGUGCACCGCUUCCUUCAUGGCAACUUGAAUGGCAACAUUGUGGCAUAUUCUUCAAGAGUACCCGCCUCUGCGUCCUCUUGCCCCAUGCUAAGGCCUUCUGAACCCAACUUCGCCUCCGCAAAUUGAGUCGCCUUAGUUCCUCCAUCAAAUGCUCUUCUGAGAAAAGGUGCAUGUGCCCAGAAGCUCCCUUCGUCUUUGGCCCCAUGCAAGAUGAGUCCGCUCUGCCAGAAUGAAGGACCCAUGGAACAACAUGAUCCUACUCUUGCCUCUGCAAGAGUUCAUGUCCUUGACCUCUGUCUAAGGAAAGUAGUGUGCCUCCGCUCCAUGUUCCAGCUUCUAUGCUGGCUUCCUUCAUGCGGCUUGGGUACUUCGCCAAGUUACACCCAAGUUGCUCCGCUCCUCGUUUUUGCAUUGAGUCGAUGGUGGCCCUCGCGCCCACCAUUCCACGGGUCAACCCUCCCUUGAGUCCGAUCUCCAUAUCGACUCCAAGUGUGCCUUCAUUUGAGUUGCUUUGGGUCGCUCCCCCACUUGAUCUCGCGAUGCAUCCACCAAUGCAUUCUCUCGAGCGAGAUCAUGCGACGACUCCUCGCCGCUUGCUCAGUCCAUUGAGCUUCGUGGAAUUGUUGUUUGUUGAGGUACUCCUCCUCAACAUGUGAGGUUCGUCCCACCUGAUUCUCCCUCUGGAGAGCCAGGACUUAUCCCUCCUGGAUAACUAUCUCGUUGGAGCAACAUCUCUCUUCGUUUCGGAGACCACCAUCCCCUUGGACUACUCCGAUCUGCUGAACAAACUAUGUAUUGUUUUGCCUCCUGCAAACGCACUUGCUAGAUUGCGACUCCACGUCAAUACAGCCCCCGCUGCACCCCUCUAGGCCUAGCAACAUGCUGAACUAGUUGCACCCUUCAGCCUCCUACGGACGUAUCCUUCACAUGCCGAAGAGAAAGUUUCAAUGUUUUAUGGCGUCGAGUUUUGGUCGCCUUGGGAUGGCCGCGAACAUUUCAUCGUCCGCAUACAAGCCCAUGCAUGAGUACCGAAUUCUUUGAGUUAGCAAUUCCCCUCACCUCUGUGUGCUUUGCACAACUCUUUCGGUCGCUGAACAACUCAUUCCACCUUGCAUGGUCUCAUCCUUUACCAAGCGCCUCGCUCGUCUUGAGCACCAUCAAGUAUAGUUGUCAACGUUGAGCCGUAGCUCAAACUCAGCCAUCCCAACCUUUGUGCGCUCCGCAUUCUUCCAAGCUUGUCUGUUCUCGUGGUGCCUCUUGCGCGAAGGGUUGGCCAUUCCUCUGAAUGCUAAUGUCAGAUACCCGCUCCUCUGAGCGACUUCUUUUCCCUACAUCUCUAUGCCCGUUUUCCCCCAAACGGUCGCGCGUGUGCUGACUGCCCUCAACGCAGCCCAGCUAGGUCCCCCACGUUUGCAUGCUAAGUGUUUCUAUGAGUGCUUGUCCCGCUCUGAUACCAUCUGUCACGGACUUAGCUGGUUUUGCCUAAGUCGUGCGGCACCCUUGCGUGUCCGUUCACAAAGGUCAGCCUCCCCGAAGCCUCCCAUGUCCCUUAGGACCCACAAAAGAGAGAACGGGUUAGAGAAAAUGCCUCAUUUGGUAUCCACAAGCAAACAUUUUCGAAAACACUUCAUAGACAAUGCAAAUUACAAACAGGCUUUACAAGCUCUGAACAGUUGCUCAACAAAGGGUAAAAUGGUCCAUUACAGACCGAUAAUCUCUCACAUGUGUCCACAUGACACAACCUUUAUUUACAAGCCUAAAGCGGCCACCAACCUAACUAAAAUGAGACUAUUAAGCAUUCGGCCGUCCCUCUACAUGCUGUACAAAGCAUGAACAUACCAAAAGACACGGACAUAUAUAAGCAGUACAUCAAACAUCCUGUUUAGAAGUUUGUCCGUAAUAGUGAAUAGUAACAAAUGAAUGUUUGGCUUCAGUAGAAGAUUUAUACAUGUCAUGGAGACUAUGUUUUACAUGGCAAGUAAAAGUGCUGUUUUAGGGGCACUUUUGGCUUUUAUAACUAAUUUAUAUGGUGGUGAGCUGCAAGUUUAUGUAUAUUAAUUCAAGAUGAAGAUGUUCAUGUAAUCGUGAGAUGGUAGUGAGGCCUGUGAGCAUUUGACAUGUACAUGUAUGUGAGAGUCUUAGGAGAACCAUGUUAUGUGUGAUUGAUCUGGCUUCAUUAUUCGAAAAGUCCUUGACGCGUAAACUUGUGCACCAUGUAGCACAUAAAAAAUCCUAUCUUGAGUGAUUCUUUGGCUUUUCCUGCUGUUGGAAGUUAGAUCUACAAGUCAUGUUGGUCACUUUGGUGCAUCAAGCAUUGUGAUGUAAGUGCAUACAGAUCAAACAAAAAUUGAAAUUAUGCACGUAAUGAUGCGGAAAUAAUUUCAUUUUUGUCACUAUGUUUUAUUAUUUGAAACUGGGAUGAGACAAAUCCAUCAAUUUUAGAAAAUGAGAAGAUUUAGGGUCUUUCAGUGGAAAUCUGCAGAAACAAGCCUCAUCCCUUCUAUUUGUGGCUAGUACAUUACUCAUUUUGUGUUUCUUCUUCAUUUGAUAUUCUACUUGACCAAAGGUCCAUAACUACUUUGAUUUUCUUGGCUUGUAAGUGGUUUGGUGGAUUAAAUAUAAGGUUGUUUUGGUCCUGGACCAUAUUUUUAGCAGAAAAUGCUUAUGCCCUUAAUUGGAAGUCAAAUUUAUUUUUCUUAGAUUUUCUUUGUUGAGCAACUCUGAUUUAUCUACUACUACUUUUUUGCAGAUAUGUAGAGCACUUGCUUACAUGCAUAAUGCUGUUGGCAUAUGUCAUCGAGAUAUCAAACCACAAAAUUUACUUGUGAGAUUCUUCUUUCUUAGCCCUAUUAAGUUAAACAUAUGUCUGCAUAUGCUCUAUUUAUCUAUUUCUUUUGCAUCCAAGCCUCCAUCAAUAUUUGCUGGUUUCUGCAAACACAAUGCUAAAGGAGGAAGUACAUACUAAUGAUCUAAUUAAUAUGCAUUUUGUCUGGGCCUUGGAUGAUAUCCAUCACAAUACAAUUGAUUUCGCUAUUUUAAUCCUAAAUUGUGUUCUCUUUCCUCUCUUAGUAAGCAUAUCAAAUUAGUAAGUACUGUGACAAUUUGUUGUGCUUUCCUCUGUUAGCAUAUCAGAUAUUAGAAUGCCAAAUUGCAAUUUGUUGUUUUUACUUCUUAAAAUGUUUAUCUGAUUGGUUUUUCUAUUUCGCCUCCUAUCAAAAUGAUUAAACCUUCAUUAAUUGUCAUUGGUCACAAACUUUUGAGAUUUCGAUCUCAUAGACAUAGCAUAACUUUGAUAAUUUUGGGACUAAAAUCAUUCUAGUUUUUUUAACCUUCUUUUGGUUUAGAAAGUGUUGGACCAAAUCUAGCCAACAUCUAAAAAGAUAAUAUUUGAAGUAAGUAUGUUCCUGAAACAACUAUUUGAAGAAAUGACAUACAGACACAGCCAAGGUUGAAAUCUACUUUGAAUAUGUAGUAACAGCCUCUAUGAGGAUGGAUAGUUGUUGACAAUUCAGGGAAGUAUUUCUACAUAUGCAUAGUUAAACCAUAGUAGCUAAUGCAGAUCUACAUUUGUGGAUUCAAAACGUUUUUAGCAGACUGAAGGUAUGAAAUGGUACCCUUUGGUCAUUCUUUUUUACCUUUUCUUCCUGGUGUCUCAGCAAUUUCACCUGAAACUAUUUGAAAUGAACAAUCCAAGGAACCAGACAGUUAAACCAAGGUUGAAUAGGAAGACUAAAUUGAACAGUUCAUUAACAUGAUACAUCACAGAAAAAAACAAAGUAUAUCUGUGUCCAUAAUUGAGGGCACUUUGUUGGGAGGAAACUUGUUGCUGAAAGUUUGUAUGUAACAUAAGCUCUCUGGCAUAUUCAGUUGAUAGUGAUGGAUCAUGGGGUGGCUUAUAGACUAUGUGACAGUUAUGUAUCUGUCUUAUUUAAGGAGCAUACACUUAAAAUCUAGAUGUGAAAAACCCACACAGAUUAUGGUAUAUUAGUGCCAUGUUACACCUGUCAGCAUGGCCAAGCUGUGUUUUGACGGCACAAGAAGAACAAAAAGGGAAUAGAAGGAAGACUCAAAUUCUGAGAUGGCAAUCCAUGCAUCAAAUUCUAAAUUAGUAGAUUUGAUGAUAUCUACCAAAUUCCUUAGACCUUAUUGGAAUAUCACCAAGAAAAGAAGCAACUUAUGACUUUGUUUCCUACUGCUGGACAUCUUCAGCUAUUCUCUCACUUCUGGUGGCUGCCAGCAAGGAUGUGAAUUGUUUCCAGGAAAGGUGAGGCCACACUGAAGGUUCCUGUGCAUUGAGCAGAGGCAAAGAGUCCUAUAUUUGACUACGUAUCCGCAAAUGUUAGCCAAUCAUGGUUGUGAUUCUUGUGAACAUAAUAAAAAAUCACUGGUUUGGUCAAUGAUGACAAAUUUUCAUCAAAUUAUUGUAUAGUUUAUCCAAUAUGGGAAUGUUCUGAUUUUUCCAUUAUGUUAGUUUAAACUGAUACUCUGACUAAUUCCUUUACUCAUAUGUACCGAGUGAAAUUUGUGGUUGUCACUUCAUCUAUGCAUAUGCAAAUUGCUGCUUUGGGUUGGCUUCCUUUCUUUGUGUUCUAAUGGUGAAGAUGUGAGGUGCCAAUUCUGGGUGACAACCUACAUGAACAUAUGUUUAGUAAUAAUAUACUUCAUAUGUGUUUACAAAGUUUUGCACUGUUGAUCAUACAUCUGUUUAUCUGGGACUGAGACUGACCAUGUAAAGCAUAUAACAUUAUGAAUUCACAUGCAUAGUAAAGUAGAAUUAUCCAAGAAAAGUAAUGUAUUCACAGUGUAGUGGAAUAGUGAUAUUGAUGUAAAUCAAAAUAGUUAAGAUCUGAUUUAUUACUGCCUUAUCUACCAUUUAUUUCUUCUUGGUUAGCUCAUUUUGUGUUACAUGUUAAAUGUCAAUUUCAGGUGAAUCCACAUACAUAUCAACUCAAGUUGUGUGAUUUUGGUAGUGCAAAAGUAUUGGUAAGCAAUUCCUGUCUAGCUUCUCUUCUUUGUUUUGGGCCUUAAGACAAAACAAUGCUCCAAUGUGCUUUUAUUUUGUCAUAUUUUAGGUCAAAGGGGAACCUAAUAUCUCUUACAUAUGCUCAAGAUAUUAUCGAGCACCUGAGCUUAUAUUUGGUGCGACUGAGUAUACAACUGCGAUCGACAUGUGGUCCACUGGUUGUGUGAUGGCUGAGUUGUUUCUUGGGCAGGUAGUUUUUUUCACUCAAUUUAAAAUAUGGUGUCACAAAUAUUGUGGCAAAUACUAAAUACUAAAUUACUGUAUCUGGUGCCUUAAUAUUUUCUAAUGAUUUUGAUUAUGUGGGCACAUGGCUGUUUUAGCCCCUAUUUCCUGGAGAAAGUGGUGUUGACCAGCUGGUGGAGAUUAUCAAGGUAGGAUAAUAAACAAAGUACAGAAAUUGUAAUUCAAGUGGUUUUCCUGAUACCAAUUAUAUUCUUGGAUAUGUCUUAAGGUUCUUGGAACACCUACAAGAGAAGAGAUAAAGUGCAUGAAUCCAAACUAUACUGAGUUUAAGUUUCCACAAAUAAAGGCUCAUCCAUGGCACAAGGUAAUCUCGAAGUUGUUUUUAUGUUAUAUAGAGUUUAUCCAUUCUAUAUCACCAAAUAUGAUUGAUAAUUAUUUCUUGUUUGAAUGUGCUUGCUGAUUAUAUUCAAACAACUAAAGUGCAUGAAUGUGCUUGCUGAUUCUAUCUUUGGAAUGACUUCAGUUUUAACUUUUUGCUUGAUUUAAGAAGUCAUAUUGGAAGAUGUGUUAAAGGCCUAUAGAGGAUAGAUCUAAUGAACCUAAAAAAAAUUAUUUUGAACUUUAUAUAUUAUUAUAAAUGGUACAUUUAGAUAGUUUUAGACAUCACGAGAUAAUUUGUACUCAUGAUGUUUAGUUUGUAGUAGAGAUGCAAUCAGGGAAACCUUUGUGAGUCAAGAGUUAAUAAAAAUAGGUAAAAGUAUAAGACUUGAAAAUAUCCCUAAUGCGGAUUAUGGUAGUUUAUGAGAUCAAAGGAUAAUUUGGUUAACUAGUUUGUUUAAUAAAAUAUUAAAAUAAAAAAAAUGAUAUUCAAAGUUCUUUUCUUAAAACUAAUUUCCUUCCAUUAUAUUAAACUACGUAGAAGAUGUUGUUACACAGACUUGAACCUAAGACCUAUCAUCUAUGUGCUAACCAUCAAGAUGUGACAGAUAUUGAAAGUUACACUUGGUAUAGGGGAAUUAGGCUAAUGUUAUAUUAUGAAAUUGUAGAAAAAGAUUAUUAAAUGAAGAAUAAAAUAUGAGAUGAAUAUUUUCAAAAAAUCAGUUUUGUUUCGUACUUGAAAGAUCCACUGUGGAAGUUAUUUAGAUGAUAAAAUAAUAAGAAAGAAAAGAUCACAUAGAUUUUUCUUUAAUAUAGAAAAGCUUAUGAUGGUUUCUAGAGAUUUGUUGUAAUGGAUUUUAGAAAAUAAAAAAUAUUUUGUAAUAUAAUUUAAUAUAAUAAAAAAAAUUGAUGAUAGAGUAGUGAAACUAGGAGUUGUUCCUAGUGAGUUGAAUAAUGAUAUUGUUUCUAUCCAAGAAUCAACUUUAAGUUUCUAUCCAUUGAUAUUGUUAAUGAUUGAGUUUCCACGAUGUAACAUGUUUGCUAAUGAUAUUGUUUUGAUUGAUGUGUUGCGGUUAGUUCUAGUUUUUGAGUUAUGAAGACAUUCUUAAGAAAUAAAAGGUUUUAAAAUAUGAGCAAGGCAGUAUAUGAGAUAUAUCUGCAGCAAUGCUAAUGGAAGAACCGAGGGUGAAGUUAAGAUUGAUAAUAAAAUGUGUUUUAUAAGUACAAUUUUUAGGUAUCUUGGAUCCUUUAUUUAUAAGCAUUCUCUAUUGAUGAAAAAUAGGAUGUUUAAAAUAAAAAGAACCUUGAGGAGUUUAGUGUGAUCAUCACAUGCUAAAAGAAAUUUUUAUAAGACAAUUGUGCAGUUAGCAAUUUUCUAUAGAUCAAAAUAAUAGAUAGUAAGGAAACAUGUAUAAAAUGUUAGAAUAGCUGAGCUGAGAACAUUCAAGUGAAUUGUCACGGACUUAGCUGGUUUUGCCUAAGUCGUGCGGCACCCUUGCGUGUCCAUCCGCAAAGGUCAGCCUCCCCGAAGCCUUUCAUUGUCCCUUAGGACCAACAAAAGAGAGAACGGGUUAGAGAGAACGCCUCAAUCGGAAUCCACAAGCAAACAUCUCCGAAAAUACUUCAUAGACAAAGCAAAUUACAAACAGAUUUUACAAGCUCUGAACAGUUGCUCAACAAAGGGUAAAAUGGUCCAUUACAGACCGAAAAUCUCUCACACGUGUCCACAUGACACAACCUUUAUUUACAAGCCUAAAGCGGCCACCAACCCAACUAAAAUGGGACUAUAAAGCCUUCAGCCGUCCCUCUACAUGCUGUACAAAGCAUGAACAUACCAAAAGACACGGACAUACAUAAGCAUUUCAUCAAACAUCCUGUUUAGAAGUUUGUCCGUGACAUUCUCCCCCACUUCUUCCUUCGACGUCCUCAUUGAAGCCUUUGCCGACACUGCAACUCCUCGCCUUUGCUGAGUCUUCAAUCUUCUGCUCUAGCUACAAUGCGCCUCUUGGCUCCCAGCUGCUCUCCGUUGCUGUUUUUGAGUAGUCGAACCUUUGAUCCGCCAUGCUGCUUCAACUCACCAAUGACUUUGACUCUGGUGUGGGGUUGGCUGAGUUGUGCUGAUCCUUGUUGAUUCCUGCGGAUCUUCCAAAUGAAGGAAAAGACCAUUCUUACUGCGUCAGUUUCUCAAAUGCCUCAUGCUCUUUGAACUGGGUGGAUGCUUGUUGGAGCUUUUAACGAGCAUCGUCUCGCAAACUUCUGAAGUUUUGAGUCCUUCCUCCACAAAAUUUGCUCAUUGACUCUUCUUUCACUUAGUUGUCACAUCCAAGUAGGUUCGCAUCACUUCCGCUUUCGAUUGGCAUUUCGUUGGAAAAUGAAGCGGACAAUCUACUCUCAGUAACACUGAUCACCAUUGGUAAGGAUUUGACAACUAUUGCCUUCCAUUAUCUUCGAAAGGUCUUUGAACAUAUGCAGAGCUCCUCUGCUGGAUAGAUAAGAGAAUUGGGGUACUCGGUUUCGCCCAUUCUCUUAAGAGUUGAGAAGGCAAAGGUUACUUGACUUCGCCCGCCUCCUCGAGGUUGUACUCCAUACAUCGAGCUGGUUAUUGGCCUUCGCCUGCUCUUUGCUCACACUUCUGAAGCACUUGAAGUGUUUGCACUCCUUGCGUUGAGUUAGCUACUAUGAUUCACCUUCUCAAUGCCAUCGAACUUCUGGAAUGCAGGAAGUUUUCACCCCAACUUGGAGUAAUUCUCUAAUAGAUUUGGUCGCCUCUGGGAUUGUACCGUCUUCUCCAUCAACCCUGUCGCCUACUCCCCUGAGUAGCGAAGGUACAACACCACGUACUGCCUACUUCGUUCCUUGGUCAUGCACUCUUGCAUGACCCGAGGUCCUUCACUUUCCGCUAUCUUGAUGAGAAACUCAUUGACACUGGUCUUACGAAGUUCCUUGGCCUCUGCCCUUCAGCCUUGUCUCGGUACUUGGAGUUUGCCUCUGCAUGCUCCACCUCCUCGGCCCCUUUCACGACCAAGCGCUCUCCCUCCAUGAGAGCAAGGGAUCAAUGACUUUCACGGAAGUCCCGCCUCUGCGGUACCAUGGCACUGCCAUGCCCAUGGCACUACUAUCCGUCGCCUCGCAUCUGUAUCCUUUUUCUUCACAAUCAGUAGAUAUGCCUCUGUGGUACUCCUCCGAGUCCACCUCCAUUCUAACUGAUGCUUGAUUUUGGGUAGCUAAGUCUCUCUGGACUCGUUGUCGCUUCCUCACCCCUUUCGACCCCCUGCUUCAACACCUCUGUGUUCUCCAAGCAGCUCCCUUUGGUCGAUGGAAAGACAGACUGCAACUCCCAUGCAUGGCCUCUGCCAUUACGUUGUAAGGUUUGCACCGAUUCUGUUCUCCUUAGCUUCCUUGGUAGCAACGUUCGCUUACUCGACCUUAUCCUCUGACUUGUCGGGUUCCCUUAAGCGAAUAUGGGCUCUGGAGCAGUCCAACUCUCCAGCUGCUUCAAUCAUACCUCUGCAUGAUCAAGUCCCUCCCAUGGGACUCACUGGUACUUGCAUUCGAACUUUUCCCUUGGUGGAACACAGCCCCCAUAUGAUGAUGACCAAGGCUUUCAUCCGAUGCAAAAUUCGAUGCAUGCACGGAAGACCUGCCUCUGCAGUACCAUGGCCUUCACUCCUUGAAUCCAUAGUCAUUCUUGUCGUCGUGUUGUUCAUCGAAGUGGAGCUUCCAGUGGCUCCCGAUCAUACCUCUAUAUGAUCUAGUCCCUCCCGGGACUAGAUUAUGUGUAUCGCAUUGCCACGAACUGUUCCACCACGAUCCGCUGCAUCAUGUCGCCUCUUGGUGACAUCUCUGUUACAUUCUGAUCCUUGUGGAAUGAACUCGAAUUGUGAACCCUUCAUGUAUGGCCUCUGCCAAUACAUCACAGGGUCUCUUCCACCUUCGAUUUUGUUCGCUCCUUUGGCAAUCGAUCUUCAUCCACCCACUCUUGGGUCACACCUAGAUGAAGCACCGCUCUAGGACAGUUCGUCGCCUAGUAGCUCCCGAAGUCCCCCGACUUCGCUGCAAUUAGUGCACCAUUGUCUGGAUCCUAGGCCUCUACCCCUACCAGCACAAUCUUCGUUGCGCACCGCUUCCUUUAUAGCAACUUGAAUGACAACACUGUGGCAUAUUCUUCAAGAGUAUCCGCCUGUUCUCUUGCCCCGUGCUAAGGCCUUCUGAACCCAACUUCGCCUCCGCAAAUUGAGUCGCCUUAGUUCCUCCAUCAAAUGCUCCUCCGAGAUAAAGUGCAUGUGCCCAGAAGCUCCCUUUGUCUUUGGCACCAUGCAAGAUGAGUCCGCUCCGUCAGAAUGAAUGACCCAUGGAACAACAUGAUCCUGCUCUUGCCUCUACAAGAGUUCAUGUCCUUGACCUCUGUCCAAGGAAAGCACUAUGCCUCCGCUCCAUGUUCUAUCUUCUAUGUUGGCUCCCUUUAUGCGACUUGGGUACUUCGCAAAGUUACACCCAAGUUGCUCCGCUCCUCGUUUUUGCAUUGAGUUGUUGGUGGCCCUUGUGCCCACCAUCCCACGGGUCAGCCCUCCCUUGAGUCUGAUCUCCAUAUUGACUCCAAGUGUGCCUUCAUUUGUGUUGCUUUGGGUCGCUCCCCCACUUGAUCUCGCAAUGCAUCCACCAAUGCAUACUCUCGAGCGAGCUCAUGCGACGACUCCUCGCCGCUUGCUCAGUCCAUUGAGCUUCGUGGAGUUGUUGUUUGUUGAGGUACUCCUCCUCAACUUGUGAGGUCUGUCCCACAUGAUUCUCCAUCUGGAGAGCCGGGACUUAUCCCUCCUGGAUAACUGUCCCGUUGGAGCAACAUCUCUCUUCAUUUUGGAGACCACCGUCCCCUCGGACUACUCCGAUCUGCUGAACAAACUGUGCAUUAUUCUGCCUCCUGCAAACGCACUUGCUAGAUUACGACUCCACGUCAAUACAGCCCCCGCUGCACCACUCAAGGCCUAGCAACAUGCUGAACUCGUUGCACACUUCAGCCUCCUACGGACGUAUCCUUCACAUGCCGAAGAGAAAGUUUCAAUGCUCCAUGGCGCCGAGUUUCGGUCGCCUUGAGAUGACCACGAACAUUCCAUCGUCUGCAUACAAGCCCAUGCAUGAGUACCAAAUUCUUCGAGCUAGCAAUUCCCCUCACCUCUGUGAGCUUUGCAAAACUCUUUUGGUCGUUGAGCAACUCAUUCCACCUUACAUGGUCUCAUCCUUUACCAAGCGUCUCGCUUGCCUUGAACACCAUCAAGUAUAGUUGUCAACGUUGAGCCGUAGCUCAAACUCAGCCAUCCCAACCUUUGUGCACUACGCAUUCUUCCAAGCUUGCCUGUUCUUGUGGUGCCUCUUGCGAGAAGGAUUGGUCAUUCUUCUGAAUGCCAAUGUCAGAUGCCCGCUCCUCCGAGCGACUCCUUUUCCCUACAUCUCCAUGCCUGUUUUCCCCCCAAAUGGUCGCGCGUGUGCUGACUGCCCUCAACGCAGUCCCACUAGGUCCCCUACAUUUGCAUGCUAAGUGUUUCUAUGAGUGCUUGUCCCGCUCUGAUACCAUCUGUCACGGACUUAGCUGGUUUUGCCUAAGUCGUGCGGCACCCUUGCGUGUCCGUCCGCAAAGGUCAGCCUCCCCGAAGCCUCCCAUUGUCCCUUAGGACCAACAAAAGAGAGAACGGGUUAGAGAGAACGCCUCAAUCGGGAUCCACAAGCAAACAUAUCCGAAAACACUUCAUAGACAAAGCAAAUUACAAACAGACUUUACAAGCUCUGAACAGUUGCACAACAAAGGGUAAAAUUGUUCAUUACAGAUCGAAAAUCUCUCACACGUGUCCACAUGACACAACCUUUAUUUACAAGCCUAAAGCGGCCACCAACCCAACUAAAAUGGGACUAUAAAGCCUUCGGCCGUCCUUCUACAUGCUGUACAAAGCAUGAACAUACCAAAAGACACGGACAUACAUAAGCAUUACAUCAAACAUCCUAUUUAGAAGUUUGUCCGUGACAGAAUGUACGGGAUUUAUAGAAAACAAGGUUUGUCUUACCGGUUCGUACCGAUGUACCCAUCAGCCGGUGGUAUGAUAUGUAUUGCUUCGUACUGAUGUACCAUGUGUCAGUACGGUGAGGCAUACCGAAGGCAUAGAAAAAUGGUCAAAAGUAGCUCCGAAAAUUUCUAAAAAUAGAAAAAAAAAAUUUAUAUUAAGAUUUUUAAAUUAUAAACAAAUAUAAAUUUAGCAUACUUUAGCAAAAGUAAUCUAAAUUAGAAAAUAAUAGUAAAUUGUUAGAUUAUUUACUAAAUAAUUUAAACUUUAAGAUUCAAAUGAAUUAGGUAAUUGGUCGAUGAAUAUAUCUGGUUCUAUUGUCAAAAAGAACGACGGGACUCCAUGGGUGGUGGAUCAGGGUUUUCAAUCCUACGUAUCUAUCAAUUUGAUAUGUUUAUCGGACCCAAUCCCGAAAUUGAUCCUAUGACAUAGCAAGGUUCGCAAUACCGAACCGUACCGUACCGGUAUUUCGACCUGGGCUCGGUAUCGGUACGGUACGGUAUACUGAGCGGUACACCCAGGUGUGCCGAGUACUGUAGCAAUGCUACAGUGCACUCGGACCGGUAACAGGCGGUCCGUGUACCGACAACCUGUCGGACCGGUAUGUACCGCCCAUAUCGGGCGGUACGGUUCGGUACAGCAGACCCUGUGACAUAGUAUACUGAUACAUCAUAUGUCAUUAGUGCAUCAAUGUGAUAAUGAUCGUAGUCGGAUCAUCGUGAACCACACAUGUCUGAGGUAGCUCCUGAUGUAAGUACGAUUGUAACAUAUAUUAGUGCGGAGCAUUGAGAAUGUUAGAAUUUCUACUUUUGUUACUGAUCUGUUGCUUUGUAUCAUAAAAUCGAUCACCGUACUGUUACUUGAAAAAGAAUGACCAACUAUCACCUCGAGCUCCAGGAUCUGAAUCUUGGGUGGUAUACAUAAAGUACUACUCGAUCCAUACACUGCUCUCAAACUGUGUAGACGGGACUAUUGACUCCCCGGUGUCGCCACCAUCAUCGGUCAACGCACUAUUGUCUACAUCAUUGCCAUGUCUCUGAACCGAGCAGGUUGUUGAAUGCGAUUGAGAAGUUGUCUACAUACAUUUGAUUAGAAAGUUCUUCCCCUAACUUAGGUGUUAAUUCUCCCUAAUUAGCCUCAAUUUUGAUCCAAUCUAUAAUUACAGCUUUAUAGAGUUCAAGAGAGUGCAAAUAAGAGAAUGAAAGAAAUAUGUGAGUGAAAAAGUGAUUGCAAGAGUAGAUUAAUUAGAGAGAGUGAAAGGGGAGGGAAUGAGGGAGUAGAAAAGGUUUAAAAACCCUUAGAAACAAAUCUCAGCCAUUGAUCGAUAUCGGUCAAAAUCUAACCACCAAUCGGUAAUGGUUGAAUUUUGACCAUUCCGACCGGUACAGAUCCCGUAUCAAGAGAUACGGGGUCCCUUGUUAUGGACUGCCUGAUACAAGACGGUCCACGUGCUGGUCCCCUAUCAGACCAGUAUGUAUUGCCCGAAAUAGGUCGGCGACGGACGAUGCUAGAAAAUAUAGAAUAACAAAUACAAUUAGGUGUAGCUCUUUACGAAUAUAUGCCCCAUAUAGAUGAGGCUAGUUUAUCAGUAUCUGUGGUGACCAGAAUUAUAGAAAGAGGCAUUAGACAACUUUGCUAUGAAGGAUAGCUUGGAAGGAUAGAAGGAAAUUCUGUUGUAGUUAGUUUAACUAAUAAUAAUAUCUUACACAAAGCUCAAUGAUGGAAAAAAGAUGUUAUAGCCAACCACAUAUACUUGGCCAUUAUGGCAUUUUCUUCUUGUUGUAGUUUCACACUUGAUUUCAUCUAUUGCUCAAGAUGAUGAACCCCAGCUGAACUAGAGUUGCAUCCAAAUCGCACCAUGAUCAGACCAGCAUGCAUAUCAGUGCACAUGAGUGAGCCAAAUAAUAAAACAAACUGUUGAAAUCCAUGUGGAAGAAGUUUUGACCCAUCUCCUGAGUUGGAAUGGAUGCGAUUUUUUAAUAUGUGCAAAUUUAAAAACUUAUUUCAUGAAACACAGUCUUUCAUAAUUCAGGAUUGAACAGAUCUAAGGCCCCUUCGAGAGAAUCUACUUGUUCUUUAUGGGUAGUUCUAUUAGAAAUCCUGUGGUCAUACUGCACAUUUCUGUUGACAUAUUUAACUGUAUUGUAUAAGGAUGGACUAACCUGCAUCAUCAUGCAUCAUGAAUGCUUGUUGGUUUCAAAAACAUCAGCCACCACUUCAAAGAGUAUGCUGUUGAUUAUCUUUAAUGGUCGAAUAAUCUUUGUGGUACUUUUUUAAGUUUGAGAUAUAAGCAAAGUUCACUGGCCAUUUGCUUAUUGGGAAAUCAAAUAGCUUUGUGUAUGCAGCCAGUUCAAAUAUUACUGUUUUUGUAAUGAUAUAAUUUAGUACCUCUGGAGAUCUUAGUUUUAUCUAACCUCUUGGGUGCUUCAGGUUUUCCAAAAGCGGUUGCCGCCAGAAGCAGUUGACCUUGUUUCUAGAUUUCUUCAGUACUCACCAAAUCUGCGGUGCACUGCUGUAAGUUUACAUCAGAUUAUGCUGGUUAUAUUUGUCAGAUGUAGUGUGCUUGUAUGGCGUCUAAUAUUGAAAUUGUGAGUUUCUGCAGCUAGAAGCCUGCUUGCACCCUUUCUUUGAUGAGCUGAGAGACCCAAAUACUCGUCUCCCCAAUGGUCGACCACUUCCUCCUCUCUUCAACU